RNAcentral lists this long non-coding RNA (386 nucleotides) under Gossypium raimondii (Peruvian cotton). RNAcentral describes it as "long non-coding RNA (GRAI_LNC002628)". Lineage: Eukaryota; Viridiplantae; Streptophyta; Magnoliopsida; Malvales; Malvaceae. The record is from RNAcentral.
UUAAUUAACCAUACCUCCACUCGCUAAUCCCCCAUAGGGGGAUUAGUUCCUCAUGGAUAUGAUAAAAAAUAUAAAAUUGAUAAAGAGAAUAAACAUAAAAAGUAAUUCAAGAUAAUAGAGUUUAGAAGAAGUCUAAUUUGUAUUAAAAUUAAGCGCAGAAUCCUCACAGAGUUUGACAAUAUUUCCUAAAUCUGAUUUCCCCACAAAAGUAAAAAAAAAAAGAACGGAAAUAAAAUAUAAACCCUAAGAAAAGAGAAAAACUAAAGACUAAAUCUAAAGAGAAAAUCAUACAAGAUAAAAAGGUGUCCAUCACAUUUGUUAAACAAGCCUAUUUAUAGACUUUAGAGUGACCGUCAUUAUUAACCCUAGGUCAGCUACCGUCCCCG